This 480-nucleotide ribosomal RNA is filed under the name uncultured bacterium. RNAcentral's name for it is "partial 16S ribosomal RNA". It matches the Rfam family "Bacterial small subunit ribosomal RNA", at positions 28 to 508 of the family's 1533-position model. The record is from RNAcentral.
GAUGAACGCUAGCGGGAGGCCUAACACAUGCAAGCCGAGCGGUAGAGUUUCUUCGGAAACUUGAGAGCGGCGCACGGGUGCGUAACACGUGUGCAACCUACCUUUAUCUGGGGGAUAGCCUUUCGAAAGGAAGAUUAAUACCCCAUAAUAUAAUGAUUGGCAUCAAUUAUUAUUGAAAACUCCGGUGGAUAGAGAUGGGCACGCGCAAGAUUAGAUAGUUGGUGAGGUAACGGCUCACCAAGUCAAUGAUCUUUAGGGGUCCUGAGAGGGAGAUCCCCCACACUGGUACUGAGACACGGACCAGACACCUACGGGAGGCAGCAGUGAGGAAUAUUGGACAAUGGGUGAGAGCCGGAUCCAGCCAUCCCGCGUGAAGGAUGACGGUCCUAUGGAUUGUAAACUUCUUUUGUACAGGGAUAAACCUACCCUCGUGAGGGUAGCUGAAGGUACGGUACGAAUAAGCACCGGCUAACUCCGUGC